RNAcentral lists this non-coding RNA (21 nucleotides) under Mus musculus (house mouse). The record is from RNAcentral. Lineage: Eukaryota; Metazoa; Chordata; Mammalia; Rodentia; Muridae.
UGAUAGGUCUGGGGCUGGAGG